This 71-nucleotide transfer RNA is filed under the name Candidatus Aenigmatarchaeota archaeon. Its description in RNAcentral is "tRNA-Gln". It matches the Rfam family "tRNA". Rfam says of the family: Transfer RNA (tRNA) molecules are approximately 80 nucleotides in length. Their secondary structure includes four short double-helical elements and three loops (D, anti-codon, and T loops). The record is from RNAcentral. Lineage: Archaea; Nanobdellati; Candidatus Aenigmatarchaeota.
AGCCCCGUAGUCUAGUGGUCAGAUGGUCGGCUCUGGACCGGCAGACCCAGGUUCGAAUCCUGGCGGGGCUA